GAAUCAAGUUAUACUAAGAUAAGCUUCUAACUUAAUCUUAAAGCGAUCUUAAUCGUUUUUGAUUCU
Molecule: transfer RNA, 66 nt
Filed under: Curculionoidea sp. 18 KM-2017
Lineage: Eukaryota; Metazoa; Arthropoda; Insecta; Coleoptera
Description: tRNA-Ser
Source: RNAcentral